This 1472-nucleotide long non-coding RNA is filed under the name Meleagris gallopavo (turkey). RNAcentral describes it as "lncRNA (ENSMGAG00000019124.1)". Lineage: Eukaryota; Metazoa; Chordata; Aves; Galliformes; Phasianidae. The record is from RNAcentral.
GUGGAAGAAGUGCAGAAGUUAUUUUUUGUUUGACAAAAAUAGGGAUGGUUCAAUUCAUUCUAGAAUCAAUAUUUUCUUUUCCUAGAAGAACACAGUAGGGACAAUCAAUCGCUGCAUCCUUGAUGCUCUUGGGAUUUUUUUUUAUCUUUUUUGGGGCACUCUUGACCAACCAUGACAAAAAGACAGACAGCUAGAAAAAAAAAAAAGAGAGAAAUGCCCAAGCAUUUCGUUCAGUUUGCUUCUAAAAUCCCAUCAGCUAAUCUCUGCAGUUGUAUAGAGCCCAUGUGCCACUCCUAGAAUUCUUUGAGAACAGGAAGGCAGAAGAAUGGAAUUUGAGAGAUCUACAGAGAGAGAAUUAAUCACUUUUCUGAACUUUAAGAGUAUUUUUGGUUGUUUUUAAGUAUAAUUUUGAUUAAUAUUUUCCAUAACAUGGAAAACUUGUAACAAGCACGGCUGCGAAAAGAUACCAAAUUGAAAAUAUCUAUUAUUAAUAAAUACCAUCAGUACCAUCACUCUUAAAAAGCACACCUCUCUUGCAAACUACUGUCAGCUAUUUUGACUGUAAUUCAGACAUUUCAAUUUUGGGUAAUAGUGAGGAAUAUCAGCAGGUAUAUCAGUGAUAUAAAACCAUUUGUCACCUUCAUCCCAGCCCAGCAAAAGAACAGGGUAAUUGCACCCAGCUGGCACCAAUGAAGGAGGAGAAAACAACUUCUCUCAGCAGUGGGUCUCCCCUUAGACCUAGCCUUCUUUGAUGAAACAUCUCCCAAGAAGCAAGUCCCCAGAAGAUGCUUUUGGGCUUAUACCUCUUUCUGGAAACUGUGUGUAAACCUGCUAGCUUGAAGAGGCUCCUGUCUUCUCUUCUUUCUGGUACAGAGCUGAACCAGCUUCUCAAGGCUGAUUUUCUUCAGAGGAAUGGCAGCCAUAAACUCAGUGGAGUUUCCAUAGGACUGUGACCUAGAGAAAACCAGAUUCCAAGCAAUGCAUCAAAAAGGAGCACACUGCUGACCCCAAACUGAUAGUGCUGGCUUCCAAGUUGCUCGGAGAAUGGCUGUUCCUUAGCAAAUUAGAAGUGAUAAAUUUAGGGCAAGCUUAAAGGGAACAGAGUAUUAAUACAGGAGUUAGGGCACUGUGUAAGCUCUUCUACUGCUACCGAAGUGUGGCUCAGCCCACUUCUCCUGGCUUUUCUAUUCACAUGUCAGUCUGUCACUUGCCUAUUUACUUUGGUUUCUAUUGGAAUUCAAAAUCAGUGCUCAGGUCAGAGCUCUAAUGGGCAGGUAUGAAUCAGUAGCGCUUCAGUGAAAUCUUCAAUCAUUCCAAAUUGUAAGAGAUCAGAUCUACACAACUCUGAUCAGAAAGGAAACAACUCUAAUCCUCCUCUUCACUCACACUCUGCUCCCUCCCAGUUGUUGCAAGCUUAACAGCAUUUGCUGCCACAGAUCUGAGAGUACUUUUAUUACUCUUCUCUGGUUAAA